GUUAAGCGAUUUUUUUUUUCUGUUUAAUAUUUAAAAAAACAAAAACAAAUCAAUAUGAAAAUUUCCAAAAAUAUUAUAAAGAUUUUAAAAGAUACUCUCUGCUUCUAUUUAGAUACAUACAAUGCACAUAACCAAUGACGUCACACAUAGAUCUAGAUUCACCGCUUAUUAUGACACUAGACAUGGUGAAGGUAUAUGACCUCCACGAGCCAGUGUUUAGAUCAAAGUGAAGCCUUUUAUCAAACUAUUAAUCGUGCCAUUUUUUAGACCAUCUGGCUACCAAUACAUAACAGAAACAUUUAUCCAUUUAUUUAUGAAGAUAAGUCAUCUUUUCGAUGAGUUAUCGAACCAUCUAUCAAUUCAUUUAUCAAUUCAUU
Molecule: non-coding RNA, 377 nt
Organism: Biomphalaria pfeifferi
Lineage: Eukaryota; Metazoa; Mollusca; Gastropoda; Planorbidae
Source: the annotation of a GenBank genome assembly